Triticum urartu is the source of this 1792-nucleotide long non-coding RNA. RefSeq lists it as uncharacterized. NCBI's taxonomy places the organism in Eukaryota, Viridiplantae, Streptophyta, Magnoliopsida, Poales, Poaceae. The record is from RefSeq and is a predicted model, not a curated record.
UCCCCAUCAACUACUCAAUAUUAAUUUGAUUACAUACACAGUAUCUUUUUUUGCAGAAUUAGUUUUUGGAUCCUAGCCCCUAUAAUGAACAUUCAUUCCUAUCUAUUGCUAUAAAAGAAAGAUCGUUGUCAAGAACUUUUCCUUUGUUCUGUACUUUUUUUUGUGUUAUUUAGAUUUGUGGUAUUCGUCAUAUCCAAGGCAUCUCCCUACAAACACCACAUUCAUAUGACUAUGCCUCCUUUUGAAUUGGCAAUAUGCUGGGCUUCAUAACUAUUUCCAUUCUAAAGAUUACUAGUCAAUAGGCAUGUUUCAGUAGCAAACAUAUUCAUAUUCAUAGAGCCAUUAUAAAUGGCAAUCGUCUUCACUUACAGUAUGUUUCUCUUCCUCAUUCCUAUUUCAGUUUUCAUAGCACGGAUGUUAGUUCAUGCUUUAUGGCAUAUCAUUAAGAUAUUCUCUUCUCGUAAUUAUUAUAACUACCAUUCUACCAAUAGUGUUUUCUUUUCUAUAAAUAAUCCUAGAGAAUCCAAUAAAUUUAGACAGGUAAAUUCUAACAUGCCAAGCAGAAUAAAGUAUUAUACAAACUGCAUUAGAGUUUAUAUAAGUGCAUCAUAGUAUGUAUGCACAUCCUUUGAUUUAGGCAAGUUACAAUUAGGCGUUAAAGCUUUAGUUGAUGGUAAAGAGUUAUUUCUCUCCAACAAUGUAUAAGGGUCGAAUCGCUACUUUAAUUGAUUGUACACUAUUGAUUGAUCCUUAAGUGUAUAGUAUACUUGGUUUCAAUUUUCACAUACAGCCAGCUAAAAUUCUGUUUUCAAGAUUUUAUGUCAACCACUCUCCUCGUCGAAGCUAUGCAUGCAGAGCAGUUUUAACAUGCUCCCUCUUACCCUCUCUUUUCACAUGAGAGGCAAGAGUAUAUAAUAGAUCUGAUCCGUGAUCUUAUUAAUUAGUGGUCUGCUUAUUUCUUACCUUCUUACCUCACAUGUAAAAAGAGGGGGUAAGAGGGAGCAUGUUAAAAUUUGCCAUGCAAUAAGAGAUAUUGCAAGUAUACCUAAGUUUUCAUUAGUUCUAGUAUUGAUUCAUAAAAAAUACUGUUGAUCUAUAAUGAACUAAAAAAGAAUCUAGGAAUUACUCACCUCAACUGAUAUUGUAUUAUUGGUUGAUCCUAAACGUGUAUCAAUGUAUGUAGUCUAAAUUUUCACAACUAAAUAAAUAUUCUCUUUUUAGAUUGUUUGUAUUAUAUGCACUCAGUGUACUAUCUAUUUUCAUAUGCGUACACAGCAUUUUUUAUUCUUAUUACAAAGUAAGUGAUGCCUAUAUGCAUUUUCUCUUCCUGCACACAUAAUUGAUAGUGCGGCUGUGGCUAAAUUUGCAGUAUCGCUUAUAUAUAUAUAUAAUUAUAUACCAUUGUAGAAUAACUCAUAGUUUCCCUCAAACAUGGUUCUACCGCCCACAUUGCCUUUAGCUAUGAGUUAAGAAAAUCUAGGUUGCAUCAUGUCUACGUUAAUCUCAUUCCUGCUCCCAGGUGUGCCGCCUCUCUUUCUUCUCAUUAGGUCCAUCCCUUCUUUGUCUGCACGGACAGGAGAAGGUUCAUGCUCCAUAUCAUGACGACAAAAUGGCUUGGACUGGAGGGGCACCACAACCAUAUCGAUGAUAUGAGGACCACUUAAAAACUGUGACAGAUGCAUGUAUUGUUUGGUUGUGGUCUUUUUUUUUGUAAUUUUUGAUGACCUUUAGACAUGCGAACAUGUGCCGGUGCAACGGAGGUACUCCAAGCCUCAGAGUAUUUGAUAAGUUC